AGUAAAGCGCGGGCGGGGCGCCGCGCGGGGCGCGCUGGGAGCUGUAGUUCUCCCGCCGGUGGUCCCGUGCGGAGCCGCCAUGCCGGAGGGGACGGGAGCGCUGCGGGAGGUGCUGCCCAAGCAAGGACAGUUGUCGGUGGAGGACGCGGCCACCAUGGUGCUGUGCAAGCCCAAGAUCCUGCCGCUCAAGUCGGUGUCGCUGGAGAAGCUGGAGAAGCUGCAGCGGGCGGCGCUGGAGGCCGCGCAGCCGCCCGAGGGGGCUCCGCCGCCGUCCGCGGGGGCCGCGCCGGCCCAGCCAUAGCCCCGGGCGGGGGGCGCCGAGCCUGGCGGGGCCGAGCCUGGCGGGGCCGCUCCCGCGAUCGAGGAUUCUGCUGACAUCACAUGAGCAGACAGUUCAGGAGCCCAUGUACUGAAGGGAGAGCAACAGAAGCUCCUGUCCCAGGCCAGCACAGCUGUGCCACAGCAGCUUCCCCUGCAAGUGGCGCUUGGGUCCCUGACAGCAAGUCCCUGCCUUGUUCCCUCUUCCUUAGUGACUGUGUGACCACACAGGUGAUACCAUGUGUGAAUCAGAGAAAAGGCAUUGUCAGAAUAUUUGUGAGCAAUGACGUUCUCCAAGGGAAAAAAAGAGUCACACAGCAACUACCUCUUUUAUCACCUGUCCUGCAGAGUUCCAGCACACCAGAUCUCCCUGCUAUCAUUCAGUUCCCUACUCUGCACAGACUACAGAAGCAACAUUUGGAGCAACACUACAGAUCUGAACAAAGAAAUGCGAACAAAGACUUAGUUUUCCAACUAAGGUUUAAUGGAAAGAAACUUUCCAUGAUCAAGAAAUAACAGCAGAAGUCAAAAAACCUAUAAUUCCAUCACACCAGCCUCUGUUAACAGAAGCUAUCUGGAAUAUUCAUUCUUCGUUAAACUUUCUUCUGUGUGCUUCA
RNA transcript from Pseudopipra pipra, 935 nucleotides. It is a transcript of the gene named BBSome interacting protein 1, with no coding region annotated. The record is from RefSeq and is a predicted model, not a curated record. The transcript is spliced from 3 exons. Lineage: Eukaryota; Metazoa; Chordata; Aves; Passeriformes; Pipridae.